CCCAGGCUCCUACGCGGUUUGGUCUCGGCACUAAUCCAGUCCUGCAGAAAAAACAGAAUUGAAAGCAAUUUCUGGAGAAAAUGCUAAAGGGAAUAGAAGGAGCCAGCCAGAGGAGAAUUUUACCACUGAAACAUUUCCUGAGUUCAUCAAGGAUUGUAGGGUGGCAGUGGCCAGGCCUUGGCUGUGAGUUGUCUGAUAACCAUAGAGACACACGCUGUCCCCACUCGGCCAGGUCAGAGUGUGCCCUGGAGACCAUCUAUCCCACUAAUUUUCUACUUCUAAAAGGAAGGCUUAAGUUUUUUUAAAAGAUGUACAUCACAGUUGUCCCUGCUGAAGCGAAGGAGGGAAGGAUGAAGCACAACUCUUUGGUCACCUCGCCCCCUUCCCUCGUCUGUAUCUCUGGUGGUCUCCACCUAAGGAGCAGGUUUUGGCAUCAUUUGAACCACAAAGCAACAGACAGAGCACCAUAUUUGGGAUUGGAAACGUCAAUGCCCAUGUCAGCCGCUCUGCUACUGCAGAUCUCGGUGUCCGUGGACGCAGCACAGGUCGAGUGGAUCUACUGAGUUGCAAGAAUAGACGGAGAUAACAGACUUCUCCACAAAUGGUGAUUUCCUCCCUCCCAUCAGCUUCAAAGGAAAAAGAGAGGACGGCUGGACAUGGCCAAGCCACCUGUGCAAUCCAGCAGUGACAAGACCAGUAAUUGCCACAAAGCUGUCAAACUGGACCUCAUGGCACAGAGGCUGGCCGGAAAACAGCAGAAUAAAAAGAGCCUGAGCAUUUCAGGCUUACAGAAGCCUCAGCCGAGGCAGGUCAGUGGUGUGACUGGAUAAACUCUUGGCUGGAGAAGCCUGGGUUUUCAGGGAGAUUCAUCUGGCCACUAAGUUUGUGGACCUGGAACUGUGCAGGGGAAAAGCAGGGUUGGACUCCACUGUUUUGUUGGUUGUGGUAUUAGGGGUGAGCUGGGGCCCUGUGCAUGUGCUCCACUCUCUUUCUGGACUCUUCUAAGGGGAGGCCGCUGCUCCAGCACACACACACACACACACACACACACACACACACACACACACACACUCUGCUCCAUUAUCCUGGGCAGCCCCCCUCCUGGGAAAGAUCCUGCUGGGCGUCUCCUAGAAACCAGGCCUGGGACACAGCAGGUGGUACUGCAGCUGGAAAGUCACCCUUCCCAGAGGGUUCAGCUGCUCCUGCACUUUCAUAACCAUUUGUUGCCACCUGCUGGCCGUUGAACUGCAGCACUUAGCUCUGCAAACCUGAGCCUGGGGCCAAGAACUAUGGGAGAUACACCCUCAUGUGACUCCAGGCCGCUGAGUUUCUCACAGUGUUCUCGGAAGGACUCACAGUUAUUCCAUCAUCAUGCCACACAAGACAGUGGGCUUUUAUAAAAAGUGACACUUCAUUCCUGCUUUAUUUAAUCAGCCAGUUACAAACACUUGGAACUCUACUGCAUGGCGCUGGUAGCGAUUGAUAGCCACAUCUCAUUUGUUCCCCCCAAAUACUUCAUCUACCCCAUUCUUGGAUUAAGCUUAACUUCACUGAUUCCUUUAUCAGUAGUGACUUACUGAAUGCCUACUACGUCUCCAGCUUCUAGCCAAAAGCUGGGUAAACAGCAGUGACGAAACAGGCAUGGUCACUGCUCUCACAGGCCAGUAGUCCAGUGGGGGAGGCAGACGAUCAGUGAUCACACAAAUAAACUUCCUAACACACAAAGGCAAUGGGACAACAGAGAAAUACAACUGUGUGUGGAACGAGCAGGCCUAAAAGAUCUGGUAGUUUCUAAAUGGAGAUUUGGGCUAUUUGAUGUGCACUAAAGUUUUUUUUGUUUUUUUUUUUCGUUUUUUGGUCUUUCUCCUUUUUAUCGGGGAUUGAACUCACAACUGCCUGCUUGCAAGGCAGGUGCUUAUGCCGCUGAGCUAAAUCCCCAGCCCCGCACUAAAGUUUUUAAAGUGUUUUCAUUUUUUGACUCAGUGCUUUCAUUUUUAGGAAGUGUGAUCAAAAAUACAGUGAAUAUUUAAAAUUCUCAAAAUUUUAUUACAGUAAAAGUUACUCUGCGCUUAAUCCUCAAAAUUCUCCCCCUUGUUUCCAACACACUUAUCCAUGGCUGGAUAAAGCCAUUCCUGCUGCUUUCUGAAGCAGUUCUCAAAGUCCUCUCUCAUGGCUGUCUGGAUGUUCUGAAUGGAUUCAAAAUGUUUAUGGCGCUUUCUGUGGACCUCCUGGUGGGUCUUCAUCUGCCUUCUUCACUGGUUCUAGCACCCUGUGACUGCUGGUUCUUCUUCCAAGUCAAAAUGACCACGAAUUAUGCUGUGAUUUCUCUCAUCCAAGAAAAUGGGAACAAAAUAAAAGUAUCCUUUCUUUUUUGGACAGUA
Cavia porcellus (domestic guinea pig) is the source of this 2381-nucleotide long non-coding RNA. RefSeq lists it as uncharacterized. The record is from RefSeq and is a predicted model, not a curated record. Lineage: Eukaryota; Metazoa; Chordata; Mammalia; Rodentia; Caviidae. The transcript has 2 exons.